GCGAACGCUGGCGGCAGGCCUAACACAUGCAAGUCGAACGGAUCCUUCGGGAUUAGUGGCGGACGGGUGAGUAACACGUGGGAACGUGCCCUUUGGUUCGGAACAACUCAGGGAAACUUGAGCUAAUACCGGAUGUGCCCUUCGGGGGAAAGAUUUAUCGCCAUUGGAGCGGCCCGCGUCUGAUUAGCUAGUUGGUGAGGUAACGGCCCACCAAGGCGACGAUCAGUAGCUGGUCUGAGAGGAUGAUCAGCCACACUGGGACUGAGACACGGCCCAGACUCCUACGGGAGGCAGCAGUGGGGAAUCUUGCGCAAUGGGCGAAAGCCUGACGCAGCCAUGCCGCGUGAAUGAUGAAGGUCUUAGGAUUGUAAAAUUCUUUCAGCGGGGACGAUAAUGACGGUACCCGCAGAAGAAGCUCCGGCUAACUUCGU
Molecule: ribosomal RNA, 431 nt
Filed under: uncultured bacterium
Lineage: Bacteria
Description: partial 16S ribosomal RNA
Rfam family: Bacterial small subunit ribosomal RNA
Source: RNAcentral